UAGGGAAUAUUGGACAAUGGGGGCAACCCUGAUCCAGCCAUGCCGCGUGAGUGAAGAAGGCCCUCGGGUUGUAAAGCUCUUUUGUCCGGAAAGAAAAGCUUCGGGUUAAUACCCCGGGGUUCUGACGGUACCGGAAGAAUAAGCACCGGCUAACUUCGUGCCAGCAGCCGCGGUAAUACGAAGGGUGCAAGCGUUACUCGGAAUUACUGGGCGUAAAGCGUGCGUAGGUGGUUGUUUAAGUCUGUUGUGAAAGCCCUGGGCUCAACCUGGGAAUGGCAUUGGAAACUGGGCAGCUAGAGUGCGGUAGAGUGUAGUGGAAUUCCAGGUGUAGCAGUGAAAUGCGUAGAUAUGCGGAGGAACACCGAUGGCGAAGGCAAUCCCCUGGGCCUGCACUGACGCUCAUGCACGAAAGCGUGGGGAGCAAACA
This 427-nucleotide ribosomal RNA is filed under the name uncultured bacterium. Its description in RNAcentral is "bacterial SSU rRNA". It matches the Rfam family "Bacterial small subunit ribosomal RNA", at positions 355 to 774 of the family's 1533-position model. The record is from RNAcentral.